UACAGAGGGUGCGAGCGUUAAUCGGAAUUACUGGGCGUAAAGCGUGCGUAGACGGUUAUUUAAGUCGGGUGUGAAAGCCCCGGGCUCAACCUGGGAAUUGCAUUCGAGACUGAAUAGCUAGGGUACGGUAGAGGGAAGCGGAAUUUCCGGUGUAGCGGUGAAAUGCGUAGAUAUCGGAAGGAACAUCAGUGGCGAAAGCGACUUCCUGGACCAAUACUGACGCUCAUGUGCGAAAGCGUGGGGAGCAAACAGG
RNAcentral lists this ribosomal RNA (253 nucleotides) under uncultured bacterium. RNAcentral describes it as "partial 16S ribosomal RNA". It matches the Rfam family "Bacterial small subunit ribosomal RNA", at positions 524 to 776 of the family's 1533-position model. The record is from RNAcentral.